Molecule: unclassified non-coding RNA, 223 nt
Filed under: Hevea brasiliensis (rubber tree)
Lineage: Eukaryota; Viridiplantae; Streptophyta; Magnoliopsida; Malpighiales; Euphorbiaceae
Source: RNAcentral
GAGAAUCAAAGCUAAUGAGUGGUAAGACAAAUAGAGGUCAACCUAAUGGUUCAAAUAGGUAUGAUGAGAGAAAAGAAUGAUGGAUAAUGACACAGAGGAUUUUAGGUUAGGCUGUAGAGAUAGUGAGAAGGUAGUCAAAUGUCUAAGUAUUAGGUGGAUGUCUUCAGUGUGACCAAUAGAGUCAUUUUGCUUAAAGCAUUAAUGAUAGAAUAACCAUAGGGGA